UAGGGAAUCUUCGGCAAUGGACGCAAGUCUGACGGAGCAACGCCGCGUGAGUGAAGAAGGAUUUCGGUUCGUAAAACUCUGUUGUUAGAGAAGAACAGCGCAUAGAGUAACUGUUAUGCGUGUGACGGUAUCUAACCAGAAAGCCACGGCUAACUACGUGCCAGCAGCCGCGGUAAUACGUAGGUGGCAAGCGUUGUCCGGAUUUAUUGGGCGUAAAGCGAGCGCAGGCGGUCAAUUAAGUCUGAUGUGAAAGCCCCCGGCUCAACCGGGGAGGGUCAUUGGAAACUGGUUGACUUGAGUGCAGAAGAGGAGAGUGGAAUUCCAUGUGUAGCGGUGAAAUGCGUAGAUAUAUGGAGGAACAACAGUGGCGAAGGCGACUCUCUGGUCUGUAACUGACGCUGAGGCUCGAAAGCGUGGGUAGCAAACAGG
RNAcentral lists this ribosomal RNA (429 nucleotides) under Bacteroidota bacterium. RNAcentral's name for it is "Bacteroidetes bacterium partial 16S ribosomal RNA". It matches the Rfam family "Bacterial small subunit ribosomal RNA", at positions 355 to 776 of the family's 1533-position model. Lineage: Bacteria; Pseudomonadati; Bacteroidota. The record is from RNAcentral.